CUCUGUUUCACUACCAGGCACAUCUCCUUCACCAACCAUUUUGUCUCUGCAAAACAGAAAAGAACAAACAUAUUAGUCAAAAUUAACAAAAUUGCACAGGGGGAGACAAAAUGGGGGUGUGGUAUGCUACAUUUGCAUAUGAAGUUGGCAACUUAAAUUAACAAGUUGCACAUGGGCAGAAAAAAUGGCUACUCUUAAUGUGAAGUUGGCAACUCAAGAUAACAAGUUGCACAAGAAUUAAGAAAGUUGCACAUAAAUUCCUACCUGAGUGAGCGAAAAAAUUGCCACCCGGUUGGCAAGCCAAUCAAAACAACUUGGAUAACGGGACAUGCCUCGUUGCAAAAAAAAAUUGGCUAGAAAAUGCCUUUGUAUCACCGUGUGAUCCACAUCGUUUGCAUCCACGUUGUGCAACUAGAAAAAUAGCAGCCUCAGAAAGACUACCCUGGUUGAAUUAAAAUAAAUGUUGCACAUGAUUUGCUGCCUAGUUGUACAAAAAAACUGCCACCCCAAAACAAACAAAAAUCCAUCAAAAACAAAAAAGUUAGGUUGGCUAUUUUUAACAUGAAGUUGGUGAGUUCAAUAUAACAGGUUGCACAAGGGAAGCUGCCCCGGUUGCACAAAUGGCUAAAAAGCAUUCACACAAAAUCUGUGAAAACUUCUACACAACUAACCCUAAGGCCCCUAACUAUGUUGCCGUGUGUGUGCAACUUCGACAGCUGUACAAACAUCGUCUACAUAGAAAAAACAUGGAUGUGCAAACACCAUCAAGGAAAAAAAGUAUGUCUCUAACGCAUCCAGAGUUGCACAAAAAGUUUAACAUAAAUUUUGCACGGAAUGAUAUCAAUUACAAUCAUGAGUUUGCAAUGCAUCAUGAGAUUAAUGGAGAACAACUCGCCAAUGCGUUUGGUCAGAAGAACACAAACUGUAACAAUGACGCCGCCUUCUUGGCUGCCAUCUGGACGCCGCAAUUCAUCUGGUCGUAGGACGGGGAGGCGAAAUGGACGAUCUCGCCGGCAUCCAUCAUCCUCCUGAAAUAGAGGAUCUCGCGGCGUCCAUCAUCCUCCUGAAACAGAGGAUCUCGCGGCGUCCAUCAUCCUCCCGAAACAUUGGCUACUCCUGGGGAAAGUUCUGCAUAAGAAUACCACAUCUGUAAAAUGAAUUGCCUACUCCCGGGAAAAAAUGAUGCAUCUACGACACAAACAAGUGAGGGUGUCCUGUAAUUCCAAACAAGUUCAAUAAGGUUCUGACAGUGACAUAUAGUCUGCACACACACACACAUUCGACAGUCAAAAAAUGCAGUAGUACUAGUUAGUAGCAGGAAUAAGAUCACAUGUUCAGUUGGUGAUGCACGAGGCAAGAUAGAUAAGUCAGAAAACAAUUGAUCUUCUUCCAAACUUCAAUGAGAUGUAGCCUUGGGGUCUCAGAAGUUGUCAUGUGAUCGAUGAGUUUUGUUUGCUGUUUAGGUCCACUCAACACUUGAACUAGCUUGCUGGUGACAAUUGCAAGCCGGCCGGCCGGCUGGACGGUCGGCCACUCGGACGGCACCACAGACAGAUCGAUCCUAUUUAUAGAUGCGAACUACUGAAGCUCGGCAUAGAACGAGAGUUUGGUGAGAGAGGCGUGCUCACGGUUGCAUCCAUGACGGACGACUGGGUCGGUGCGAUGGGCUUCUUCGUGGGGAUGCUAGCACGGCUGAUCUGCGAGAUCCCCGGCGGCGGGGCCCGGAGGUUGGGGGCUGCUGCUCGUGGCGGCGCAUGCUGGCUGGAAGACGCGAGGCGUGCUGGGGUGGCGACGGGGAUCCGCGGCGGGAGGUCGGCGACGGCGAGCUGGCGCGGUCCGGAGGCGGCACGAGGGAGGAGGCGAGGUGCACGGGUGGCACACCGGCGGCGGCGGCGGCGGUUAGUGGAUGAGGAAGGUCAUGGGGUGCGGUAGU
Molecule: long non-coding RNA, 1933 nt
Filed under: Triticum aestivum (bread wheat)
Lineage: Eukaryota; Viridiplantae; Streptophyta; Magnoliopsida; Poales; Poaceae
Description: long non-coding RNA (TAES_LNC004107)
Source: RNAcentral